Long non-coding RNA from Gasterosteus aculeatus aculeatus (three-spined stickleback), 1377 nucleotides. The record is from Ensembl. NCBI's taxonomy places the organism in Eukaryota, Metazoa, Chordata, Actinopteri, Perciformes, Gasterosteidae.
CUUUAUGUCAAUUAAUAAUGAUUUGCACCGGCCACUGAGGAGGAUCUUGUGUGUGUGUGUGUGCUGCCCUCAGCUUCACCUGGGUUCUUAUCUCAACCUGCUUUGUAGCUUCUCGUAACUGGCACGGAGAAUGUUCUUCACAUGUGUAUAAAAACUCAGCGUUUUCACUGCUCGGAGACGUCAUUACGCCGAGCGCUGAGAUACGUGCUAGUGUGUUGGACCUCCUGCUUGCAAGCAACAGUUAGAGCCAGAUGUCUGCGGAGAAUUGCUCAUGUAAUCUUUUUCUCUUCUAAAUAAAUGUUAACUUUUGACUUUAAUUGAUCAACGUGCUGCGAUUCUUCUCAUCAACCAACUCGGGGGGAUCGGAGAUCCUGACAAUUUGGGGGCUCGUCCGGGAUGAGAGGUUUUCCUGCACAGGCGGAUUCGAUCUAAAACGCUUACACCUGCUGAACGCGACGUACUCCCAGGUCGGCCUCAAAACAAGAUUUUGCGGACCAGGUGUGAGACAAAACAGGGGAUCAGAACGCCCACAACCCCCACACGGAAGCCUGGGUCCUCCUGAGGGUCAUUAAGAGGAAGUGGUCGGAGCCGCGGUGGACCGGACCAUACCAGGUGGAGGAGAGAACCUCACAUGCAGCGAGAAUGAGAGGGAAAGGUGAUACCUGGUACCACUGGAGCCAGUGUGCCACCGCAGAGGAACCAGCUCGCACUCUCCAGGACGUCCUGAAGGAUCAGGAGCAAGAGGCGGCAACGGUCCCCAAACGGUCCCCAAACGCACUCUCUACGGGCAGUUGACUGACAGACACCCAGAGCAUGGUGAUCUGUGUCGACUGUCUACAACCAAGAAGACCAAGAAUAAUUGUAUAACCAUCCUCUCUUCUGUUCUAUCUUUCUCAACUCUCCGCAUUAGUUUAGCAAAAAAAAAAAAACAAGAACAAGACACGAUCCCAUUAUUGGCCUGGAAAGGAGGCAAGAUGAGGAGGCUGAUCCAGCAGACGUUCUCCAACAGCUGGGGUGAUCUCUGAAGAGAUCAAAAGGGGGAAUUGUGAGAUGCAUGUACUGAUAAAAUAUAUUAUAACAAUGUUUUGUGCUAAAGCCGUGUCUGAAGUGUAUUUGACCCUGAUGUGCAAAGAGCAGCAUGAUACAAAAUGUUAGUUUGUUUCGUUAGCUGUGUCCUGAGAAGGGAGGAUGGUUAACUUGAUCUCAUAGACUCUUCAAAACAAAGGACUUCUGUUCAUGGCCUUGGUUCAUAUCUUAUUCGGUACGAAAGUUCCGGAUCCACGUUUUUACUUUAUGUCAAUUAAUUAUGAUUUGCACCGCCACACUAUGCACUUAUUGUACGUCGCUUUGGAAAAAAGCGUCCGCUAAAUGACAUGU